GAUGAACGCUGGCGGCGUGCUUAACACAUGCAAGUCGAACGGAAAGGCUCCUGCUUGCAGGGGUACUCGAGUGGCGAACGGGUGAGUAACACGUGGGUGAUCUGCCCUGCACUUCGGGAUAAGCCUGGGAAACUGGGUCUAAUACCGGAUAGGACGAUGGUUUGGAUGCCAUUGUGGAAAGUUUUUCGGUGUGGGAUGAGCUCGUGGCCUAUCAGCUUGUUGGUGGGGUAAUGGCCUACCAAGGCGUCGACGGGUAGCCGGCCUGAGAGGGUGUACGGCCACAUUGGGACUGAGAUACGGCCCAGACUCCUACGGGAGGCAGCAGUGGGGAAUAUUGCACAAUGGGCGCAAGCCUGAUGCAGCGACGCCGCGUGGGGGAUGACGGCCUUCGGGUUGUAAACUCCUUUCGCUAGGGACGAAGCGCAAGUGACGGUACCUGGAGAAGAAGCACCGGCUAACUACGUG
RNAcentral lists this ribosomal RNA (465 nucleotides) under uncultured bacterium. Its description in RNAcentral is "partial 16S ribosomal RNA". It matches the Rfam family "Bacterial small subunit ribosomal RNA", at positions 28 to 507 of the family's 1533-position model. The record is from RNAcentral.